Molecule: transfer-messenger RNA, 295 nt
Filed under: Puniceispirillum sp. (SeqCode)
Lineage: Bacteria; Pseudomonadati; Pseudomonadota; Alphaproteobacteria; Puniceispirillales (SeqCode); Puniceispirillaceae (SeqCode)
Description: partial transfer-messenger RNA
Rfam family: Alphaproteobacteria transfer-messenger RNA
About the family: Bacterial tmRNA, also known as 10Sa RNA or SsrA, is named for its dual tRNA and mRNA-like properties.
Source: RNAcentral
AUCCUUUAAAACUGGCGUCAUUGCUUCUAUAUUAAAGAUGCUGGUUCGCCAGCUAUGGCGAUAAACGUGCUGUAGAAUAAGCAGAGCGGACCCGGGGGCGGUACCCGGCGCCUCCACCAUUUUAGCCCGAAACGACGGCCAUCACGGCCAGCAGAGGAAUUUGGGCUAAAAGAUUGGGGGCGAAAUAGGAUCGACGCAUGUGGUAAAGGCAGUAUUUUUGCUCGGUAUGGUACCCGCCGUUAUCGGGCCAUGUAGUAGUUGCAAAUGACAACACUGCUCCGGUAGCAAUCGCAGC